CCUUUGUGACCAUAAAUACAAAAAUGAGUAGACAGGACAAAACAAUAGUGACCUGCUGGUUCUGUGAAACAGUAAAAAUGAGUGAAUGUUGCCCUGAAACAGAGCAGCCUCCUCAUCCGUUUUCAUGCACUGUAACUUUUAAAGUCAGCUUCUAAAACAUUGUUAGUUUGCUCAUAAGAACUUUUACUGUUUUCCCUUGGACCACAAUGAUGGACAGGUCAGAGUCCCCCAGCUGUGUGUCUGUAGUGAGCAACUGGUCAGAGGAUCGACCUAUUGACUUUAAAGGACCUGAUAUCCAGGAUAUUAAAAGGUCAGAGUCCCCCAGCUGUAUGUCUGCAGUGAGCAACUGGUCAGAGGAUCGACCUAUUGACUUUAAAGGAACUGAUAUCCAGGAUAUUAAAAGGUAAACAAUCUGCUGUGUGAA
Molecule: long non-coding RNA, 424 nt
Organism: Pygocentrus nattereri (red-bellied piranha)
Lineage: Eukaryota; Metazoa; Chordata; Actinopteri; Characiformes; Serrasalmidae
Source: Ensembl